Molecule: small nucleolar RNA, 107 nt
Filed under: Cephalotus follicularis
Lineage: Eukaryota; Viridiplantae; Streptophyta; Magnoliopsida; Oxalidales; Cephalotaceae
Description: Plant small nucleolar RNA R71
Rfam family: Plant small nucleolar RNA R71
About the family: R71 is a member of the C/D box family of snoRNAs containing the C (UGAUGA) and D (CUGA) box motifs. Multiple nearly identical copies of this snoRNA have been identified in Arabidopsis, and it is thought to function as a 2'-O-ribose methylation guide for 18S ribosomal RNA.
Source: Rfam by way of RNAcentral
AAGCCAUGGUAAGGACACUCUAAAAGAAGAUCCUUAAAAUGUUCCAUACACUUAGAAAAUGAUUCAUUUGGUUUUUGACGAAACUGGAGAAUGUCGUUCCUAAGUUU